CUCCAGACUCCUACGGGAGGCAGCAGUGGGGAAUAUUGCACAAUGGGGGAAACCCUGAUGCAGCGACGCCGCGUGAGUGAAGAAGUAAUUCGUUAUGUAAAGCUCUAUCAGCAGGGAAGAAAAUGACGGUACCUGAGUAAGAAGCCCCGGCUAACUACGUGCCAGCAGCCGCGGUAAUACGUAGGGGGCAAGCGUUAUCCGGAUUUACUGGGUGUAAAGGGAGCGUAGACGGCAAUACAAGUCGGAAGUGAAAUACCCGGGCUCAACCUGGGAACUGCUUUGGAAACUGUAUGGCUGGAGUGCUGGAGAGGUAAGCGGAAUUCCUAGUGUAGCGGUGAAAUGCGUAGAUAUUAGGAGGAACACCGGCGGCGAAGGCGGCCUGCUGGACCGUGACUGACGUUGAGGCUCGAGAGCGUGGGGAGCAAACAGGAUUAGAUACCCUGGUAC
Molecule: ribosomal RNA, 447 nt
Filed under: uncultured bacterium
Lineage: Bacteria
Description: bacterial SSU rRNA
Rfam family: Bacterial small subunit ribosomal RNA
Source: RNAcentral